Molecule: ribosomal RNA, 468 nt
Filed under: uncultured bacterium
Lineage: Bacteria
Description: partial 16S ribosomal RNA
Rfam family: Bacterial small subunit ribosomal RNA
Source: RNAcentral
GACGAACGCUGGCGGCGUGCUUAACACAUGCAAGUCGAACGGAAAGGCCCUGCUCUUGUGGGGUGCUCGAGUGGCGAACGGGUGAGUAACACGUGUGUAAACUGUACCUGACUUUGGGAUAACUCCAGGAAACAGGGGCUAUUAUCGGAUAGGAGAUAUUGCUGCGUGGUGGGGGUUGGUAAGUUUCGGCGGUUGGGGAUGGUCUCGCGGCUUAUCCGCUUCUUGGUGGGGUAGUGGCUUACAAAGGUUUCGACGGGUAGCCGGCCUGAGAGGGUGGCCGGGCACAUUAGGACUGAGGUACGGCCCAGAAUCCAACGGGAGGCAGCAGGGGAGAAUAUUACACAGCGAGCGGGAGCGUGAUGCGGCAGCGCCGCGUGCGGGAUGACCUCCUUCGGGUUGUAAACCGCUUUCGCCUGUGACGAGGCGUGAGUGACGGUAAUGGGUAAAGAAGCACCGGCUAACUACGUG